RNAcentral lists this ribosomal RNA (253 nucleotides) under uncultured bacterium. RNAcentral's name for it is "partial 16S ribosomal RNA". It matches the Rfam family "Bacterial small subunit ribosomal RNA", at positions 524 to 776 of the family's 1533-position model. The record is from RNAcentral.
UACGAAGGGGGCGAGCGUUGUUCGGAAUUACUGGGCGUAAAGGGCGCGUAGGCGGCCGAUCAAGUCAGAUGUGAAAGUCCUGGGCUUAACCUGGGGACUGCAUUUGAUACUGAUUGGCUUGAAUGCAGGAGAGGAUAGCGGAAUUCCCAGUGUAGAGGUGAAAUUCGUAGAUAUUGGGAAGAACACCGGUGGCGAAGGCGGCUAUCUGGACUGUGAUUGACGCUGAGGCGCGAAAGCCAGGGGAGCAAACGGG